AGUGAACGCUGGCGGUAGGCCUAACACAUGCAAGUCGAACGGCUGAACAGAACGAGCUCCUUCAUUCGGGUGCCGAGUGGUGGAUAGGGGCUGGAAACCUGGGAGUUAAUGGGUGAGAGCGGGCGAACACAGGGAAUAUUACGGCAUACCCGCUUAGGACGAAAGUGGGAAAGCUGCGGACCUCACGAUAUCACAUGAUCCGAGGUCGGAUUAGCUAGUUGGCGGGGUAAAGGCCUACCAAGGCGACGAUCCGUAGCUGGUCUGAGAGGAUGAUCAGCCACACUGGAACUGAGACACGGUCCAGACUCCUACGGGAGGCAGCAGUGGGGAAUAUUGGACAAUGGGCGCAAGCCUGAUCCAGCCAUACCGCGUGGGUGAAGAAGGCCUUCGGGUUGUAAAGCCCUUUUGCUGGGAAAGAAAAGCAGCAGGUUAAUACCCCGCUGUUCUGACGUUACCCAAAGAAUAAGCACCGGCUAACUUCGUG
This 484-nucleotide ribosomal RNA is filed under the name uncultured bacterium. RNAcentral describes it as "partial 16S ribosomal RNA". It matches the Rfam family "Bacterial small subunit ribosomal RNA", at positions 29 to 507 of the family's 1533-position model. The record is from RNAcentral.